AGUGUUCUGGCAUCUCGUCGAUAUCGAUGAUUCCUCAAGAUAGACCGCAUGCUACAAGAAAAUGGAAGAAGACUCUAAAAACAAAACUAGCACAGGCAUCGCCAAGAUGGUAUAAAAGUGUGUUCUGUCAAGUAUGACAAAGAGCCCCAGAACCACACGGUGGAAGUAAAGAACCAACUCCUGCAACUUGUCCUGAGGAUACACCAUCCCCCAUCACAGUGUACUUGUGUGUGAUCACAAAUGUAAAAGAUAAAAAAAUCUACUGCUGAAUGAUGAAUGCAUUCAAAUAUGUAGAAACUUACCUAUCAAGUUUGGGGUUGUCUUGCCUUUCUCUUUGCUGUUCAAACCUCAAUUUUAAUCCUUUAAACGUCUGUACAUAAUCUACAUCUUCUAGUGCUUUCCAAUAAUUCUCAAUUACAUGGGCAGUUAAUGAUUUUAUAUCUUCCUACAGAAAAGAAUUAUAGCAAAAUAAAUCAGAUAUGAAAAAUUACUUUUUUAACAAAGUAAGAUUAGGCAUACUGUGGUAAUUCCUAAGACUCAUCAAAAGUUUAAUUUCACAGUUACUGUACAACUUUAAAGUAGUCAGACAAUAAAAGAGCUUUUGGUGCUCCUGGGAACUGUCCAAAGGUUAUUUCCAGAGUGUAUAUCCAAGUUCUAGUGAUUCUGGUUCCCCAAGAAUGGACACAGUGGCACACACCGCAAUACCAGUACUUUCAGAGCCGAGGCAGAACUGUCACGAGAUGAGUCCAACCUAAACUGUGCAGCAGGUGGACUUCUGUGGUGGCUGCACAGUAACAGAGAGCACCACCCUCAGAGAAUGCACUUUAGAAUGAUGAAAAAGGCAAGCACAGGUUUCUCUAUGAACCUCGGCUUUCCUAGAAAUCAUCUGUAGACCCAAGAGAUUUGACUGCCUCUGCCUCCUGAGUCCUGGGAUUAAAAGUGUGUGCCACCACUGCCCAUCUCCCAAGUUCUGUAUAUCUUUUUUUUUUUUUUUGGUUUUUUGAGACAGGGUUUCUCUGUAUAGCCCUGGCUGUCCUGGAACUCACUUUGUAGACCAGGCUGGCCUUGAAGUUCUGUAUCUCUUAUCACAAUUCUUUUUUUUUUGUUGUUGGUUGAGACAGGGUCUGAGAAGUAUUAGGAUUCCAGAUACAAGCCACCACCUUUAGCUCUAUAAAGCAUGCCAGAUAGUUUUGGGUUUUUAUUCGUCUAAAUUGAAUUACUUUUAGGAUUUUUGUAGCAUGGUUCUUAAAAUCUCUCCAAACACUCUAAAGACAAAAUACCAAUAACAGAUACUCAAGUUUCUCAGACAUAUUAAAACCAAAAUCCUAAGGUAAGAAGACAGAACCUACCACUCUAAUAAAUUCAAACAUUUCUAUUAUGGCGGAGUUCAUCAGAUUGUAACGAGAUCCGUUGUUGAGAAAUGCUUUGACUACAGGUUCAAAUAAAAAACUUUUCAUUA
This is a long non-coding RNA of Mus musculus (house mouse), 1459 nucleotides long. RefSeq annotates it as predicted gene, 47639. The record is from RefSeq and is a predicted model, not a curated record. NCBI's taxonomy places the organism in Eukaryota, Metazoa, Chordata, Mammalia, Rodentia, Muridae. The transcript is spliced from 2 exons.